Long non-coding RNA from Astatotilapia calliptera (eastern happy), 4319 nucleotides. The record is from Ensembl. Lineage: Eukaryota; Metazoa; Chordata; Actinopteri; Cichliformes; Cichlidae.
GAAAGAGCACUGCUUUCUUUCUUACUUUGAUGCAUACUUUGGCAUUUUGAGAAAUUCAGCCAUCGCACAUAGUUUGCCAAGAAUGUUGAAAAUUUGACACUACAGCCGGUAGUUGCUUAGCUUAGCAUUACAGCUGAAAAUGGAGAGAAAUAGCAAGGCUUGCAUAGGAGUAACAGCAUGUGCCCAAAGGUACCUCUAAAUCUCAAGUACCUACCUGUAAAAUUUGAUUAUAAAAACAUUAGAUUACAUGCAGGACUAUAUGCCAUCGCUUCACCAUGUAUCUUUAAGCUAAAGGCUAAGUUUAUUGCUAGCUGUAGCCAGCAUCAACAUUAGGUUCUGGGAGUCCAGGCUUACCUAGUAAAGUCGCUGUGUCCCCUCAGCUGAAUUCCACAAUUAUACUUCAACUGCUCAACUAAUUCAUCCAAUUUGGUAAUGAAAAACGCAUUUGUGGUAACCAGGAUGACUAAGGAGGACACUGAACCCACAGGCCUAUGGAGGUCAGGUCAGGUCAGGUCCCGAAACUAAAUUGAGAUCAUUUCAGCUUGUGCAGCUAGUUUUAGCUAGCAUGCGCCUAGUCAAAUAUUGCAAAAACACACGAAAACGUGUUGAGAAUACUGUACGCUCACAGUCAGCUUUCCUACUGUGUGGUGAUUUUACUUAUCCACUUUGGCACCAAGAGAAAAUGCCUACUACUAUGCAUAUAUCCUUCCAAAUAUGUAUAGGGUGUUUGGGAAGUGAUUUGAGCCGAAAGCCCCCUGCUGGGAGGAGGCAAAGUUGACAACCAUCCAGUUGUCAUGGUCUGCUAUUGAUCCACGUUGGCUGUAUCCUUCCACAGACAAACUAGUGUGCAAUCUAGUGAAUUUCUCAACAUGUGGAACAGUUCUUCUAUUUAGCCUCCCAACUUUGUGGUCAAGCUGGCAGAAAAAGAUGCAGAUUGAAGUGCUCAUGCUGGCUUCAUACUAAAAAAUUUAUUUCUUAUUGAUUCGUGCCAUCGUGGAAAUAGCACAAAGACAUGCAGUUCAUUCAAUAACUGCUGGGAAUCUGUUUUCAGUUACCCACGACUGCUCACUGAAAAUAAUGCAAACCUGUACACAGUUAGCAAACAUAUCCAAACCUUGUUUUUCUAUCUGUCUGCAUCAAAGAACAGCACAGAAUAAGUUGGACUGAUUCUCCACUAUUAGCUAAAAAGUUGCUGACCAAAGUUUGGAAUGCAGUCAUGACUGCAGGAAAUUUAUUGACAGACGCCCUCUUAGUAGUCGCAUGCUGAGUCAGACCUCUUACGUUUAGUCAGGAUCUAAACAUAGCAUUUAAAAACACAGCUCACAGUACAGUAAAGAUAUAUAUUUAUAUAUCUAUAUUUUACUCUUGGAUGUAUCUUCUGAAGAGUGUAAAGUGUCCGUUCCUGUCUUUUCAGUUUUCCCAUUCAGAUUCCCCCAUUCCCAGUUUAUAAAAAGUGUGAAAAGCAGAUCGUAAUGUAUUUUUCAUGUCUUUGUAAUGCUGUUGACAUCUAUUACCUGCAUAUCUGCUGAAUGAGGACUAACAGCAGUGGAGUUCUUGAUUCAUCAGCUACAGCUCAACAGCUGAACUCCAUUCACUCCAAAACAGGUUUUCUCAAUUGUGAGAAAACUACAUGGAGCAGAUUUUUGUCAAACUUACGACGGAAUAUAAAGAGUUUCAAAAUUAGAAUCAGGUCCCAAUAGUGAACAAGUAAAGUAAUAGAAACUGAUGUAUGAACAGGAAAAGAAAUUGGUCCGUGCAGUGCUGUUUUUCUACAGCAGCUGCAUUAUUCCCAUACUUGCUUCUUCUGUUUGCCAUCAGGAGAUACUUUCCAUUGCCACACGAACGGGGCCAACUUUUAGCAUGCUCACAUAUGGGAGUGCAGGAAUCAUCUGGAAGAACAAUCUUACCUAUUCAGAGUUUGGUGCAGGGGAUCUCCAGCAGAGCUGCACCGUUGGCCUGCGUUGCUAAACAUUUUUCUGCAGUUGCUCACCAAAGAGCAAAAAAAAUAAUCUAACACAUACCCCACUGAUACAUCAUCAUUCCCUGAGCUGACUCCUUGAAAAUGACUUCUGAUGAAAGGCUGGAUCUGCCCUGCAUCCUCUGCAAGCUGCUGUGUGGCAAAUCAUUUCUAUUAGCUUUCAAUUUUUAUGAUUUUUUUUUUUCUUUACCGUAUUUACAGAUGUAUCUUAGCUCGGGUCUUUUUAGAUCUCAAGAAAUACACACCAUUCCAGCCAUCUACAGCCUUCUAUAGGGCAAGUACUGGGAGAAAAACAUCACAUUGAGAAGAAUGCAUAAAGGGAAGGAGGGCAUGCAAAAAUAUGUGUGCUUGAAUUGAUGAGAAAUACAGCCAGAGAUGAGCCUUUUUAUAAAGAAAACAGUCAGUCGCUCUGGUACUGCUGCUCCACCCUACACAUUAUUAUUAUGGAAAUAUCAGAAAGUCUAGCAGUAAUACAAACAGCCUGAAAAAGGCCAUUUCUCCAAGCUGAGCAUCUUGAGAAUGCUGCAGUGGAUGGGUGAAAGCUGAUGGUCUACUGAGCAACCAAAUUGUAUUCAAAGAAAAGGACUGUGAGUCUUGAUUGAAAGGUUGACCCACAAAGACGGGAUAUAGCCAGUAUUUUCUGGCAGCACAGAAAACCACCGAGCACCUGCCAAUGGGCAGUAUCCAUUUUUCUACAUCAGAGUGGAAGAUACUUUAUUAAGUCAUUUUGUCUCCAUGUGGAAUCAGCAUUACUCUGCUCUCCCUAGUUUUCAGUGAGCUUUCUAGUCAGGGAAGGAACCACACGAUGCUAUGCAGCUCUCUAACAAACAGUGACAACUCUCUGAUUUAUGCCACCUCGCAAAGAUUUUGUGGACACUGCUUGAAUUAAAAAUGACUUUGGACAUUUGGAUUUUGUUUCUGGAAAUUAACAGAAUUUCUUUUUUUCUUUUUUUCUUUUUGGCAGAAGGAGGAAACUUGUCAGACUUUUUUUGGCUCAAGAUUUGGACAAGAAGGUGUUGCUUUGCCAAAUGUUCCCCUUUUCCCAGAUUGUCCACUCAGUGUCUCACAUACCUUGAACUUUGGAGAUUUUUCUUUAGUGAAAAUGUUCAAAUGCCAAAUUUUUCCAUCUUCUUUUACUACUUCAAGCCAGCUUCCCUCUCGCCCUACAUAUGCACACGUAUACACAUGCAUACAGGAGUCACAACAAAACUGAGAAGCUUUACAGUUACCCGUGUUGUGCAUCACAAAAAUGAGUUUUCUAACUAAUUGUGCCUCUUUGUGUGGGUUUGGUGUCAUAGGAAAAAUCUGUCCAGAAUGUUUUAUUAUUGUUAUUAUUAUUAUUAUUAUUAUUAUUAUAAUACAUCAUAUCAAAGGAACUAAUUUGUUAGUUGCAAUUUGUUAUAUGCAAGCUGUAUUGUUUGAUGCCAUGCGCAUACAUCUUAUAUACACUGCAGAGGUGUUUCCAGAGAAUACUGAAACAUUCAAACCUGCUAGCUCCGAUGCUAAGACGUGCAGUGGCGAUAAGCUAGCUAGAGAUUGAGGAUGCGCUUUGUGCCCAUCAGUGUCCUUUCCAUAAACUCAAUGACUCAGAGUGUACAUGUGCGACAGUGUGAAAGAGAGUUAUGUGUAUACUUUAAAAAGCUGUAUAACGUGUCCUUGGAGAAUCCAGCCUAUAGUAGUGCUACCAUCUCAGUUUGUUCAGAGUGUGAUGUAAAGUGUUUGGGGUUUUUUUUACUGCCUACUAUCUUAAGAUCGACACUUUGGGAGAAAAACAACAGAUGCUAACUUAAGUAAAAUGAUCUGAGUUCAUGAAACGUGGUGACAGUUUCAAUCAAAACUUUCUCAUUUUACUGUUUUUUCUUUCGGUUGUUUUUUUUACUUCUGCUGCUGCCUUUAAAAAUUCGAGCAUCCUACAAAUCUAUUUAUUGUAUCGAACAGCUGGGUAUGUUCAGUAUCUAUUCAGAAGGUUCUGUAUAUAAUUUAUUGCAUUUUCUGUAUGUUUAGUUGGAAACAUUUCAAUGCAUUUUCUGUGCUAAACAGUUGAGUUAAGUGCUAUAUGAAUGUUAAUGUUGAGAACAGUCACUGGUGAUGUUCCUAUGGGCCAAUUCUUUGUCCUUUUUCCCAUUUUUUUUCAAAGUUUUGCAAAAAUUUUCAAACUGUAUAUACUGUAUUGUGUUGAAAUAAAUAUGCAGUGAAACGGUAUUAUUUGUUGUUGCUCUAGGAUACAAUCAGUUUCCUUUCAGAUUAGCUAAACUGCCCUAAAUCUGGCCAAUUUAUUAGGUACCUAAUCAGCCAAUCAUGUAGCAGCAACUCUACUUCUGCUACUACUCCUCUGGGUAUU